RNAcentral lists this ribosomal RNA (497 nucleotides) under uncultured bacterium. RNAcentral's name for it is "partial 16S ribosomal RNA". It matches the Rfam family "Bacterial small subunit ribosomal RNA", at positions 28 to 507 of the family's 1533-position model. The record is from RNAcentral.
GAUGAACGCUGGCGGCGUGCCUAAUACAUGCAAGUCGAGCGAACAGAUGAGGAGCUUGCUCCUCUGACGUUAGCGGCGGACGGGUGAGUAACACGUGGAUAACCUACCUAUAAGACUGGGAUAACUUCGGGAAACCGGAGCUAAUACCGGAUAAUAUAUUGAACCGCAUGGUUCAAUAGUGAAAGACGGUUUUGCUGUCACUUAUAGAUGGAUCCGCGCCGCAUUAGCUAGUUGGUAAGGUAACGGCUUACCAAGGCAACGAUGCGUAGCCGACCUGAGAGGGUGAUCGGCCACACUGGAACUGAGCCACGGUCCAGACUCCUACGGGAGGCAGCAGUAGGGAAUCUUCCGCAAAGGGCGAAAGCCUGACGGAGCAACGCCGCGUGAGUGAUGAAGGUCUUCGGAUCGUAAAACUCUGUUAUUAGGGAAGAACAAAUGUGUAAGUAACUAUGCACGUCUUGACGGUACCUAAUCAGAAAGCCACGGCUAACUACGUG